Long non-coding RNA from Bombina bombina (fire-bellied toad), 786 nucleotides. RefSeq lists it as uncharacterized. The transcript has 2 exons. The record is from RefSeq and is a predicted model, not a curated record. NCBI's taxonomy places the organism in Eukaryota, Metazoa, Chordata, Amphibia, Anura, Bombinatoridae.
AGGAUAUGCUUCAGUAUCUUCAUGGAUGCUUUUUCUACAGCACAACCUAAAACAAGGAAAAAGUGUUAAACAUAUGUCUAUGUCAUGGAUACGGGGCUACAAGGGUUAAAGUCCUACCCCUCCUAUCACCUACACCCUCUUGUUUCUCAGCGGUUUUGGGCUCCUCAGAGCAACCGCGAUCCCCCAGGCCCUUUGUUCCCCUUGUUUUGUGUGUGGGAUCUCAUCUUGGAGGAGCCGAUCCCUGGCCGCCACAUUCCUCUUCGGCCGGCUGGGCCCCUAUAACUACCGGUCGGCCACAUCAUCUCGGAUUACCAGUGUCCUUUGACCCAGUUUGCUCCAGUGGCCUUUUGCCCCAGAGGUCCCCUCUUUUGGGGUUUGGUUUCCCUUAGGGUGGGUGAGAAGUGGGGUGAUUGCCGGAGGAAAGCUCCAUUGGGAACUGAGAGUUUCGGAUCCCCCUACAACCCCUAUUCUCCCUGGCCUUCCCGGUAUCAGUUUGCCUACGUCUAACUCCAGUCCCCUGCCAUGGAUUACAUCGCUUUUUGGACUGUAGCUUCUGGGGACCAAGGACACCCUAGAAGUGCCGCCGUUCCCCUGGAUCACCCCGACAUCAUCAACCACAUACCACUGGACACUAUGGAAGAAUGGACUCUAGGGAUGGCACCAGCCUGUCUGGAGGGGCAGGAAUGGCGGGAAAAUUGUGGGACGGCCAGUGCUCUUAUCAAGAUGAGUUUUAGGUAUAAAAAAUGUGUAUUUUCCCCAAUAAAAUGUUCUUCUUUGUUCACCUAA